Long non-coding RNA from Prinia subflava (tawny-flanked prinia), 1054 nucleotides. RefSeq lists it as uncharacterized. NCBI's taxonomy places the organism in Eukaryota, Metazoa, Chordata, Aves, Passeriformes, Cisticolidae. The transcript has 4 exons. The record is from RefSeq and is a predicted model, not a curated record.
GGGGAGCCGUGAGAGGUUUACCAUCUAUGUUGUCAACUCUGCUGCGUAUGAAGAAUCGUCAUCACGAAAGCGGUCGGGUUUUGAACCUGCCAGCGGCUGUAACAUUUGACUUUUUAGCUGUUGGAAAUUAUUAGACUGAUUUGUCUGGGUGAGAAGAAUCAGCAGGAGAAUAAUCCUUCUGUGGCCAUGGGAUAGUGCAGUUGAAAUCUCUUGCUUUUCCUGCCAUUCUCAGUCCUAUUUUCUGAUCAAAUAUCAGACUUCAGAGAUGAUCAUCUGAUGCUGGGGGCCGAUGGUCGCUUCUCUCCCGGCCAUGGCAGUGUUUGCAGAGGUUUCCACGAGGGGCCAGCACCGAGUCCUUCCCUCACCUGACAGCCACAGACAAACCCCUGCACUCUGUGAUGGGAAAUGACCGACUGAGGCACAUCUCAGGGACAGCGUUCCCCAGUGCCUGCUGUUGUUGACAGCUGCUGGAAUCUACUUGUAGCUACAAAGUCAUGUUUGCCUUGUUUUUCCGAAAGUUUAUUCAUGUCUAUGUUACCUUUUGUGAGCAGAAUGCAUGCUUGAGUACUGUCCUUGGCCGAGAUGGAUUCUCUUCAGUCUAUUUGCUCUGAUAGAAAAACUCAUCAGCCUUUUUCCCAGUGUUCUCAAGCCUUCUUCAGGAUACUGGAAAUCCUGAAAACCCAAGGAAAAUGCAGUGAUGUGGAGCAAUAAUGGUGGUUAUAGAUAAGGUAGAGGUAACAGACCUACAGCAUAGGAGGGUUUGUGAUUUAGUUACUUAAAAGAAUCAAACAUUUUUAUUGGAAAGAAAUCCAAGCAGAAUGUAGUCAGAAUGGAGACUAUCAUUUCUAGGACAGCAAGGUGACUUCAGUUUCCUUGAGAGCAAGAGGAGGGGUAGAGGAGUGAUAGAAAGAAAACAGACCAGAGCAGAGUUUUGAAGUAUCUUGGAUUACCAAUACCAAAAGUGAAAUCACAAGUCUGAGGAAUCAUGGUAGGAAGGAGGUGGAUUUAGCACUUUGGGCUGCCAGCCUGACACAUUCAGGAUGUUUCCACUGGA